This is an RNA transcript of Nycticebus coucang (slow loris), 499 nucleotides long. It is a transcript of the gene named midkine-like, with no coding region annotated. Lineage: Eukaryota; Metazoa; Chordata; Mammalia; Primates; Lorisidae. The record is from RefSeq and is a predicted model, not a curated record. The transcript has a single exon.
GGCGCGGGAGGGAGCGAAGCAGCUCGGGCAGCGAGCGAGAUGCAGCACCGAGGCUUCUUCCUCCUCGCCCUCUUCGCCCUGCUGGCGCUCACCUCCGCGGUGGCCAAAAAGAAAGAUAAGGUGAAGAAGGGCGGCCCGGGGAGCGAGUGCGCGGAGUGGACCUGGGGGCCCUGCACCCCCAGCAGCAAGGACUGCGGCGUGGGGUUCCGCGAGGGCACUUGGGGGACCCAGACUCAGCGCAGCCGUGCAGGGUGCCCUGCAACUAGAAAAAGGAGUUUGGAGCCGACUGCAAGUACAAGUUUGAGAGCUGGGGGGCGUGUGACGGGGGCACAGGCACCAAAGUCCGCCAAGGCACCCUGAAGAAGGCACGCUACAAUGCCCAGUGCCAGGAGACCAUCCGCGUGACCUAGCCCUGCACCCCCAAGACCAAAGCCAAGAAAGGGAAGGGAAAGGACUAGAAGCCAGGCCUGGAUGCCAAGGAGCCCCUGGCUUUCCCUGG